UUUUUAAGGAAUUACCUAAUAUGUGCAUUCAAACAUUGUUGGAAAGGAUAGGAUUGCAAAUAAACAAUGAGAGGAUUGCAAAUAAACAAAAAGAAUAAUUGUGGGACUGAGUGAAUCAAGGAAAUCAAUUAAAUAAAAAAUGGAAUUUAUGUGAAAAAAGUUAGAAAUAUUAAUGUUGGUGGCGUUCAUAAUAUUACACACUAUUUUGAAAAAAGUAAAACGACUGCUUGAAAAAAAGGAUCUGACAUUAUUAAAAAAUUAACUGACUAGGGUACUUUUAACUUGGAAUUAAAAAAUCUGCAAAAGACGAAGAAGUGCUAUUGAAAUAGCGAACUCUUUUAAAUGUUUCAUAAAGAAAAAAUAUUCACAGUGGAUUACUUUGAGUUUCUUAAACGAUCAAGGGUUCAAAACCAAUAAAUGUAAAAAGGUCCCUCUAUUAACAAUCCAUUUUAAAAAAGAACCUAAUUAGCAUUGAUAAACACUAAUAAAAAUACAGAAUGAUAAAAAGGACGGAAGAAUCGUAAUUUUGUCUGGACCUGGAUUGCCUUCAAAUGUGCACUCAAAAGUCUAACGAGAAAUUUCAUUCUGAUCGUCUACAAAAAACAGUAAAAGGAAUUCUAAGACUUAUGACAUGGAGUUGCUACUCUGCUAAAGGCGUUGGAAGAUUGUAUAAAGUCGGCAACGAAAAUAAGAUAAGCUCUAAAUAAUAAAUUAAAUUAUUACAAGAGUUCUUAUUACCAACCCUAAUAGAGUUAAAUAAUUAAAAAAUAUAUUUCAACAGAA
Molecule: non-coding RNA, 783 nt
Organism: Hydra vulgaris (swiftwater hydra)
Lineage: Eukaryota; Metazoa; Cnidaria; Hydrozoa; Anthoathecata; Hydridae
Source: RefSeq, a predicted model, not a curated record